Non-coding RNA from Paramuricea clavata, 102 nucleotides. The record is from the annotation of a GenBank genome assembly. Lineage: Eukaryota; Metazoa; Cnidaria; Anthozoa; Malacalcyonacea; Plexauridae.
GUGCAUUGUUGUCAGAAUUGACUAUGGUUGCUGUAUGCCAGGACUCCAGUGUUGCUUUGUGUCCUGGCAUACAGCAACCACAGUCAAUUCUGACAACAAUGC